CUUCGCAUCUACUAAUUAUUU
This 21-nucleotide non-coding RNA is filed under the name Caenorhabditis elegans. The record is from RNAcentral. Lineage: Eukaryota; Metazoa; Nematoda; Chromadorea; Rhabditida; Rhabditidae.